This 560-nucleotide ribosomal RNA is filed under the name Clavispora lusitaniae. RNAcentral's name for it is "LSU rRNA". It matches the Rfam family "Eukaryotic large subunit ribosomal RNA", at positions 38 to 663 of the family's 3401-position model. Lineage: Eukaryota; Fungi; Ascomycota; Pichiomycetes; Serinales; Metschnikowiaceae. The record is from RNAcentral.
GCAUAUCAAUAAGCGGAGGAAAAGAAACCAACAGGGAUUGCCCCAGUAACGGCGAGUGAAGCGGCAAAAGCUCAAAUUUGAAAUCCUGCGGGAAUUGUAAUUUGAAGGUUUCGUGGUCUGAGUCGGCCGCGCCCAAGUCCAUUGGAACAUGGCGCCUGGGAGGGUGAGAGCCCCGUAUGGCGCACGCCGACUCUUUGCACCGCGGCUCCGACGAGUCGAGUUGUUUGGGAAUGCAGCUCUAAGUGGGUGGUAAAUUCCAUCUAAAGCUAAAUAUUGGCGAGAGACCGAUAGCGAACAAGUACAGUGAUGGAAAGAUGAAAAGCACUUUGAAAAGAGAGUGAAACAGCACGUGAAAUUGUUGAAAGGGAAGGGCUUGCAAGCAGACACGGUUUUACCGGGCCAGCGUCGAAAAGGGAGAGGAACAAGAACUCGGAAAGAAUGUGGCGCGCACCUUCGGGUGCGCGUGUUAUAGCUCGUGUUGGACGCCUCCAUCCCUUUUCGAGGCCUGCGAUUCUAGGACGCUGGCGUAAUGGUUGCAAGCCGCCCGUCUUGAACCAACG